UGGGGAAUAUUGGACAAUGGGCGGAAGCCUGAUCCAGCCAUGCCGCGUGUGUGAAGAAGGCCUUAUGGUUGUAAAGCACUUUAAGCGAGGAGGAGGGUACUGGUAUUAAUACUACCAGGUACUGGACGUUACUCGCAGAAUAAGCACCGGCUAACUCUGUGCCAGCAGCCGCGGUAAUACAGAGGGUGCGAGCGUUAAUCGGAUUUACUGGGCGUAAAGCGUGCGUAGGCGGCUAAUUGAGUCGGAUGUGAAAUCCCCGAGCUUAACUUGGGAAUUGCAUUCGAUACUGGUUAGCUAGAGUGUGGGAGAGGAUGGUAGAAUUCCAGGUGUAGCGGUGAAAUGCGUAGAGAUCUGGAGGAAUACCGAUGGCGAAGGCAGCCAUCUGGCCUAACACUGACGCUGAGGUACGAAAGCAUGGGGAGCAAACAGG
RNAcentral lists this ribosomal RNA (430 nucleotides) under Pseudomonadota bacterium. Its description in RNAcentral is "Proteobacteria bacterium partial 16S ribosomal RNA". It matches the Rfam family "Bacterial small subunit ribosomal RNA", at positions 355 to 776 of the family's 1533-position model. Lineage: Bacteria; Pseudomonadati; Pseudomonadota. The record is from RNAcentral.